Molecule: transfer RNA, 29 nt
Filed under: Macromitrium levatum
Lineage: Eukaryota; Viridiplantae; Streptophyta; Bryopsida; Orthotrichales; Orthotrichaceae
Description: partial tRNA-Ser
Source: RNAcentral
UUGUAACUCCGGAAAAAGAGGGAUUCGAC